GCUUGCUUCUUUGCUGACGAGUGGCGGACGGGUGAGUAAUGUCUGGGAAACUGCCUGAUGGAGGGGGAUAACUACUGGAAACGGUAGCUAAUACCGCAUAACGUCGCAAGACCAAAGAGGGGGACCUUCGGGCCUCUUGCCAUCGGAUGUGCCCAGAUGGGAUUAGCUAGUAGGUGGGGUAACGGCUCACCUAGGCGACGAUCCCUAGCUGGUCUGAGAGGAUGACCAGCCACACUGGAACUGAGACACGGUCCAGACUCCUACGGGAGGCAGCAGUGGGGAAUAUUGCACAAUGGGCGCAAGCCUGAUGCAGCCAUGCCGCGUGUAUGAAGAAGGCCUUCGGGUUGUAAAGUACUUUCAGCGGGGAGGAAGGGAGUAAAGUUAAUACCUUUGCUCAUUGACGUUACCCGCAGAAGAAGCACCGGCUAACUCCGUGCCAGCAGCCGCGGUAAUACGGAGGGUGCAAGCGUUAAUCGGAAUUACUGGGCGUAAAGCGCACGCAGGCGGUUUGUUAAGUCAGAUGUGAAAUCCCCGGGCUCAACCUGGGAACUGCAUCUGAUACUGGCAAGCUUGAGUCUCGUAGAGGGGGGUAGAAUUCCAAGUGUAGCGGUGAAAUGCGUAGAGAUCUGGGAGGAAUACCCGGUGGGCGAAGCCGCCCCCUGGGACGAAGACUGACGCUCAGGUGCGAAAGCGUGGGGAGCAAACAGGAUUAGAUACCUGGUAGUCCACGCGUAAACGAUGUCGACUUGGAGGUUGUGCCCUUGAGGCGUGGCUUCCGGGAGCUAACGCGUUAAGUCGACCGCAUGGGGAGUACGGCCGCAAGGUUAAAACUCAAAUGAAUUGACGGGGGCCCGCACAAGCGGUGGAGCAUGUGGUUUAAUUCGAUGCAACGCGAAGAACCUUACCUGGUCUUGACAUCCACGGAAGUUUUCAGAGAUGAGAAUGUGCCUUCGGGAACCGUGAGACAGGUGCUGCAUGGCUGUCGUCAGCUCGUGUUGUGAAAUGUUGGGUUAAGUCCCGCAACGAGCGCAACCCUUAUCCUUUGUUGCCAGCGGUCCGGCCGGGAACUCAAAGGAGACUGCCAGUGAUAAACUGGAGGAAGGUGGGGAUGACGUCAAGUCAUCAUGGCCCUUACGACCAGGGCUACACACGUGCUACAAUGGCGCAUACAAAGAGAAGCGACCUCGCGAGAGCAAGCGGACCUCAUAAAGUGCGUCGUAGUCCGGAUUGGAGUCUGCAACUCGACUCCAUGAAGUCGGAAUCGCUAGUAAUCGUGGAUCAGAAUGCCACGGUGAAUACGUUCCCGGGCCUUGUACACACCGCCCGUCACACCAUGGGAGUGGGUUGCAAAAGAAGUAGGUAGC
This 1364-nucleotide ribosomal RNA is filed under the name uncultured bacterium. RNAcentral describes it as "bacterial SSU rRNA". It matches the Rfam family "Bacterial small subunit ribosomal RNA", at positions 74 to 1434 of the family's 1533-position model. The record is from RNAcentral.